This 259-nucleotide ribosomal RNA is filed under the name uncultured bacterium. RNAcentral describes it as "partial 16S ribosomal RNA". It matches the Rfam family "Bacterial small subunit ribosomal RNA", at positions 795 to 1052 of the family's 1533-position model. The record is from RNAcentral.
CCACGCCGUAAACUAUGAUUACUCAGAGUAUGCGAUAUACAGUAUGCUCUCAAGCGAAAGCAUUAAGUAAUCCACCUGGGGAGUACGUCGGCAACGAUGAAACUCAAAGGAAUUGACGGGGGCCCGCACAAGCGGAGGAACAUGUGGUUUAAUUCGAUGAUACGCGAGGAACCUUACCUGGGAUUGAAAUGUAUAGGCUGCUAGAUGGAAACAUUUGGUAUUCUCUUCGGAGACUUAUAUGUAGGUGCUGCAUGGUUGU